ACAAAUAUUAGAUGUAGGUAAAGGUAGUAAAUAGUACUGCAUCUAAAGUCAUUUUCGUAAUCAAUAUUUUAUAUAAACAUAUGCUCUCCGGUGAUCUAUAUAAACACCAAGAGCAAUCAACCCAUCUUUAGAGUUUGUGUGUCAUUUCUCCUCAUCAUGGCAUCGUAGAUCGAAACUCCCAAAAUCAAACAGUUUCCAUCUUUAUUUAUCCUCUUCUCCUUCGACGAUGGAC
RNAcentral lists this long non-coding RNA (232 nucleotides) under Zostera marina. RNAcentral describes it as "long non-coding RNA (ZMAR_LNC001481)". Lineage: Eukaryota; Viridiplantae; Streptophyta; Magnoliopsida; Alismatales; Zosteraceae. The record is from RNAcentral.